RNAcentral lists this ribosomal RNA (917 nucleotides) under uncultured bacterium. RNAcentral's name for it is "bacterial SSU rRNA". It matches the Rfam family "Bacterial small subunit ribosomal RNA", at positions 33 to 967 of the family's 1533-position model. The record is from RNAcentral.
ACGCUGGCGGCGUGCCUAAUACAUGCAAGUCGAACGGACAAGUAAGAGCUUGCUCUUAUGAGUUAGUGGCGCACGGGUGAGUAAUGUAUAGCUAAUCUGCCCUACACUAGAGGACAACAGUUGGAAACGACUGCUAAUACUCUAUACUCCUAUCUGACAUAAGUUAGAUAGGGAAAGUUUUUCGGUGUAGGAUGAGGCUAUAUUGUAUCAGCUAGUUGGUGAGGUAAUGGCUCACCAAGGCUAUGACGCAUAACUGGUCUGAGAGGAUGAUCAGUCACACUGGAACUGAGACACGGUCCAGACUCCUACGGGAGGCAGCAGUAGGGAAUAUUGCUCAAUGGGGGAAACCCUGAAGCAGCAACGCCGCGUGGAGGAUGACACUUUUCGGAGCGUAAACUCCUUUUGUUAGGGAAGAACAAUGACGGUACCUAACGAAUAAGCACCGGCUAACUCCGUGCCAGCAGCCGCGGUAAUACGGAGGGUGCAAGCGUUACUCGGAAUCACUGGGCGUAAAGGACGCGUAGGCGGAUUAUCAAGUCUCUUGUGAAAUCCUAUGGCUUAACCAUAGAACUGCUUGGGAAACUGAUAAUCUAGAGUGAGGGAGAGGCAGAUGGAAUUGGUGGUGUAGGGGUAAAAUCCGUAGAGAUCACCAGGAAUACCCAUUGCGAAGGCGAUCUGCUGGAACUCAACUGACGCUAAUGCGUGAAAGCGUGGGGAGCAAACAGGAUUAGAUACCCUGGUAGUCCACGCCCUAAACGAUGUAUACUAGUUGUUGCUAAGCUAGUCUUGGCAGUAAUGCACCUAACGGAUUAAGUAUACCGCCUGGGGAGUACGGUCGCAAGAUUAAAACUCAAAGGAAUAGACGGGGACCCGCACAAGCGGUGGAGCAUGUGGUUUAAUUCGAAGAUACGCGAAGA